AUUGAACGCUGGCGGCAUGCCUUACACAUGCAAGUCGAACGGUAACGCGGGGCAACCUGGCGACGAGUGGCGAACGGGUGAGUAAUGCAUCGGAACGUGCCCAGUAGUGGGGGAUAGCCCGGCGAAAGCCGGAUUAAUACCGCAUACGACCUAAGGGUGAAAGGGGGGGAUCGCAAGACCUCUCGCUAUUGGAGCGGCCGAUGUCAGAUUAGGUAGUUGGUGGGGUAAAGGCCUACCAAGCCGACGAUCUGUAGCUGGUCUGAGAGGACGACCAGCCACACUGGGCCUGAGACACGGCCCAGACUCCUACGGGAGGCAGCAGUGGGGAAUUUUGGACAAUGGACGCAAGUCUGAUCCAGCCAUGCCGCGUGCGGGAAGAAGGCCUUCGGGUUGUAAACCGCUUUUGUCAGGGAAGAAAUCUUCUGGGUUAAUACCUCGGGAGGAUGACGGUACCUGAAGAAUAAGCACCGGCUAACUACGUGCCAGCAGCCGCCGUAA
Molecule: ribosomal RNA, 498 nt
Filed under: uncultured bacterium
Lineage: Bacteria
Description: partial 16S ribosomal RNA
Rfam family: Bacterial small subunit ribosomal RNA
Source: RNAcentral